Molecule: small RNA, 125 nt
Filed under: Marmota monax (woodchuck)
Lineage: Eukaryota; Metazoa; Chordata; Mammalia; Rodentia; Sciuridae
Source: RNAcentral
GCCGGGCGCGGUGGCGCAUGCCUGUGAUCCCAGCUGCUUGGGAGGCUAAGGCAGGAGGAUUGGGAAUUCAAAGCCAGCCUCAGCAAAGGUGAGGCAUUAAGCAAUUCAGUGAGACCCUGUCUCUA